This 97-nucleotide small nuclear RNA is filed under the name Microcebus murinus (gray mouse lemur). Lineage: Eukaryota; Metazoa; Chordata; Mammalia; Primates; Cheirogaleidae. The record is from RNAcentral.
GUGUUAGCUUCAGCAGCACAUUGGAAAUAUACUGAGAAGAUUAGCAUGGCCCCUGUAUAACAAUGAUAUAGAAAUUCAUGAAGUGAAAAACACAUUC